This is a long non-coding RNA of Oxyura jamaicensis (ruddy duck), 4823 nucleotides long. RefSeq lists it as uncharacterized. The transcript has 2 exons. The record is from RefSeq and is a predicted model, not a curated record. NCBI's taxonomy places the organism in Eukaryota, Metazoa, Chordata, Aves, Anseriformes, Anatidae.
AUGCCAUCUCUGCAGUCACUUUUCAGAAUACAAUCAUAUUUUUACAACAUAUCAUCCUACAGAGAAGAGCCUCACAGGCUUUCAUUUUAUCUGAUUUCUCCCUUACUGCUAAGGAAUUAGUGCCUUCUCUUCAACAGGACUCUGUUCCUGGCAAGGAGAAAGAACUGGAGCAAAAGGAUAAGGAAGUUGGAAAAAGAAGAAAAGUAAGAGACUUUCAGGACCUUUCUUCGUGAGGUCUGAAUAAUGAAGACCUUACACAGAUGAAACUCCCACCAACAUCAACUAGUAUUUUGUCUGUAUACAGCCUUUACUGUUUUAUUAUUAUAUAGGUUCAAGUGUUUGGCAAACAAUCACUGAAAACUUUCACACUUAAAAAUUAAUUGCUUUGCCAUUGUCUUCCACACCAGUGAAUUAUUAGUGAUAGCCUAAAUUAAGACUUCCAGCAUAGCUGUCUUUGGUUGUGAAUAACAGUGCAGAACUUCUCUAAUUUUGUAGCCCUUUGCUGUUUUCAUGAGCACAGACAUCAUUAUUUUUUUGUAAAGUAUUUUAGUUUAGUCAUGAAGUUGCAAAUAGAGUUGUAUUUCAAAGGUGGUGUGUGGAAUUAGUUUAAUUUUUCCUUUUCUUUAGUAAUCUGAUACAAUAAUCACCUCUUGCUUUAUUAUACACAUAUUUGAAACUAACACUGUUCCUAUUACCUUUUAACUACAUACAAUUUUAAUGUAGUUUUCUAAACUACAGAUUAUGUUAAUUAAGAUUAUUACGAAAGUUCUACAGAUUUGGAGCAUACUGAUAUUUGUCAAAAGAUCUCUAAACUUGCUGGUGAUUCUGAAUGUAAUCAAACAUCUUUUGAAAAAUUUUUUGGAUGUAUUUCAAAAAAAAAUCAUUGAAGAAUCAAAACCAGUUUUGAACAUCAAUAAAGUCUGUGCAUGUAUACUUGUAUACAAGUAUGCACAAAGUAUGGAUAUUUAUUUAAUGAUUCUAUAUUAUAUUACAAUAUAUUAUUGUACCAUCAGUUUUCAACAGAUAUAUAUAUAUCCACAGCUUAUUAUGAGAAUAAGGAAUUUCAGGCAGUUUUUUCGUUAACAAAUAUUAUUUAAAAUGCUUUUUAAAUAGUGGUGAGACAGAAUGAAUAUAUAUUCUGAACAGUCAUAUGGUCAAAAAUUAUCUACCAAGUCCAAGUGAAAUGAAAGUUGUUUUGCUCAGUGAGAUAUUUUGCUAAAUUCUCUCAAAUGACAAAGGCCAUUCUGAAAAGCCAGCAAAAAAAUACAGCAGGUCAACUUUAAAGUGCGCUGUAACAAUCAACCUUAAACAGAUACCUAAUACUGCUAGCCCAUUGUGUAAUAGACUUGAUGAUAAGCAGAGAGACCAGACAUUAAUUCUUAUAAAGUCAUUUCUUAAAGAAAUCUUUAAAAGCAUAUUUGGAGAUUUUAAACAAUUCUCAUCAUGUGAAACAAACACCUGCAUCCUUUUGGUGCUCGUAAGAAAUGGCUUAUUUUGCACAACAGCCUUGUAAACUACGUUGUAAUCUGUUUUUCUACAUCAUGACAGGUGAUGGAUUUUUAUCCACACAGUACUAUCACAAGGCUAGGCUUGGAGAUGCACCUCUUUUCACUCCUUGCUUUCCAAAGUAAUCAUGUGAAAAUAGUAAUGUUAAUAUGCUUUUUAAUUAUUCUGUUAACCCCUGCAAGGAAUCUAAUUUAGUGUCUCAGAUCUGUGCACAUUCUUGACAGUCAAGAAAAACUAGUCCAAUCUUUGUCAUUAAAAUGAGAAAUGCUGCCUCUAAUUAUCUGAGCAGAGAACAGCCUUGCCAUCUAAAGCACUGUAAUUUUUAACGUCUGAAGUUUUUUUUUUUAUAUUUUUUUAUUUUCCAGAUAUACAUGAAAUUAAAAAAAAAAAAAAAAAGAGCUUUUCAAAAUGACCUCAGUUUAAAAAGAAGGAAACAGGAGAUCUUUAUAGUAGAGUAAUGCCACUGCCAUCCUGACCCAAAGAUGUGAAAAAAGGUUUCUGCAGAGGAGAAUCUGUUCUACUGCAAUAAGAUCAAUGAACUUGUAUUUUGUCAUUGAAGAGAAGACACCUUCUCUCUUCCCUCACUGAAAAAGGAACUCAAAAUUAGACAUGCUGCAAACACCACAUGACCUGCUUCUCUGAUAUGAAAUUACCUACAUGAUUGGUCCUAUGAGCCUUGGAGAAAAUGAGUUUGUUAAAGGAAGUUUAAAGGAACACUUCUGAAGGGACAAUGCACAGAAUAAGUAGACCACAAGACAAGGCGUCAGACAGAGGCUGAAGAUUCAAAAAUUGAAAAUUCAAGAAGAGGUUGAUGAUGGAAGGAUUGCUUAAAUGUCAUUUUAACAUCAACACAAACAACUCUGAAAAUCAUCAGAUAUCACUUAUUUCCCUUGAAAUUUCUCAAAAACUUCUCAAAAAGAUGUCUUUCUAAGCAAGCUUGUGAAGCAAAGCAGUGCAGGCUGUGAGUGAGUAAGAAUGGAAUUGAGUAAUCUAAAAAUUCAAGAUUUGCUAUUGAUUCCUACGUAUUUAAGUAUAGAAUACAGAUUAGGCUUUCUGCUCACAUGAGAAAAUUGUAAAAGACAGAAUGAACAUAUCAUCAGAGAGCUAAUUGCUGCAUCUUCUAAAUUGUGCUUGAAAAAUAAGACUUACCCGGAUUGUUUCUUUUUAUAACAGAGUACAAGAAUAGCUGUACUCAGGCAAGCCAAAGGUACACAGAGUGCAGUAUCCUAUUUCUAACUCUGACCAAUACGAGAUGCCUAAGGAAGACUCUAAGAGCAUGGCAAGCACAGUGAUAUUUCCACAAAAAUCUCUCCUGGCCACAAGCAUUUUGAGGCUUAGGAACCACAGGUGGUGACUCUGUAUUAAAUAGUCCUCUAUGAAUUUUCCUACUAGUUAGCUCAGUAAUCUUGGAAGUUUUUUUAAAAAAAUAAAAAAAAAUUAGUGUCUUUUGGUGCUUAGCUCUUCAUCCCGUAUGAAGGGCCAUCUCUAUUUUUUAUUUAUUUAUUUUUCUAAGUUUAAUCUGAUGUUCUGCUAGUCUUACUUGCUUUAAAGUUAGGAAAUAACCAGAAAACUUAUAACAUGAACUCUUACAAUAGACAGCUGAAGAUUUUUGUAUAUUAAGACAUCUUGUAAACAGAAAGCUCUUCUCCCAAAACAUCAUCUGGCAGAAGGAACUGAGGUUUCUUUUCUUGAUUCUGCUCAUUUAAUAAUCCCAAACUACCGGAUAACAAUUUAUGUUUUCUGGAUUCAAUAUUCUCAAGUUUGUAUACUAUAACCAAAAUUUCUAAUAGAAGUUUUGUCAAUUAUUUUAUGUUAUACUAUAACAUUCCGGGAGAUGAUUUUACAACAUAGUUUAACCAAAUGAAGAUCAGCUGUUCUUCCUAUUUUAUUUUUUUUUUAAAUCACUACAAAAAUGAACUUGUCUGCAGACCAAGUUACCAAGAUGUUCAACAGUUAGUGUACCUCACAUUUCUCAGUCCUUAAAUAAAACAAGUGCUUAAAUAAAACAAGGUGGGGCACACCAGCCAUGAACCUAUGCACAACAAUCACACCUUGAUUCUUGAAAAAAUCCCGCCUCCCAGGGAGCAUGGGAUAUCUUUCACCUCAGUUUAUUUUAGAUAUGUAUUAGUUUAGUUUUAGAUUUGUAGCUGGGCACAGCUACUGAGGAAUCAAGCAUAUCUCUUCAGUGCCUUCAAAUAUAUAUAUUUUUUCAUUUUCUUAUCAAAUAACUAAUCCAACCCAUUUUCAGUCUGCAAAACAAAAAACUAGAUUGAUGCCCUCAGAACAAGUGUCAAAUCUUUAUACACAUUUAGACAAUUGUAGCACAGCAGAAGACAUUGAAGUGUCUGACUUCAUCUAAAAAAAAAAAAAAAGAUGCAUGCACAUAGGAUUUAAUAGAACAGUUCAGUUGGAAAAGACCUAAAAAGUUCAUCAAGUCCCAAUGCCAGCAUAAUGACAUAGAAGAGUUCUUGAAUAUUAUUAUUUCAGCACAUAAAAAGUCUAUUUCCAUGAAUAGCAUUAGCAUCUAUAGAAGCAUAUUGUUUAGAGUAUGCCUAGUGUUGAUGACAGGGCACAGGCAGGAUUGCAGCCUCCAGCAACCCUAAUCAACUAAUAGAAUAUUUUACUUUAAACAUCUGCAAAAAAUAGAACUAUUUUUCAUUAACUUUUCCUUUUAUUUCUACCCUCUUGUGCACUUGCAGCACAUGAACAGAAUUUUACAGCUUACAAGUAUACAACAUGAUUAAAGAUUUUUUUUUUAAAAAAUAUGCAUGCAAACUAUUAAAAGUUUUUGAUUUCUCUCUUCCUCAUAUUAAUUAAAGCAUUGUAUUCUUGAUGGAUUUAACAUACUAGCAGAAUUGAUUGGUAGAUUUCUUUCCUUUAAAAUAAGCUUUAUGAAUAUUCAGCUGUGACUGCAACCUCUACUGUCAGACUAAUCUUAGUUAUCAUCACCAUUACCAUGUCAUCCAGCGUGCCAGACAUGCUCGGACACUGCAAACUAUACCUAGCAUAAUUUAUAGGCGUUACUCACAUAACCAAUACAUACUUCUUAUCUCAUGAAUGAAUGGCUAAAUAAACACUAGCGUCUCUUGAUCUUUUCAUCACACAAGAAAAAUCUGUAAUAACUAAAAGCACAUACAAAAUGGUUAGCAUCCAGGCCUUUGAAUCUGCUGCCUCUGGUGAACAAGGAAGUUAUGGGAGCUCCUGUUCUUUCAAUAUUAUUUCUUGUAUAUCAUCUUCAAUAUUAGCUUGCACACACAAUUGGGAAAUAGCACAGAAACUUCCCAAAUAGCUGUGUUACAUCCUAACAAAGUACAGCA